This 1443-nucleotide long non-coding RNA is filed under the name Phasianus colchicus (ring-necked pheasant). RNAcentral describes it as "lncRNA (ENSPCLG00000015056.1)". The record is from RNAcentral. Lineage: Eukaryota; Metazoa; Chordata; Aves; Galliformes; Phasianidae.
CCAUUGAGACACACAGGGACCCCAUAGGGACCCCAUAGGGACCCCAGAGCGACCCCAGAGGGACCCCAGAGCGACACACAGGGACCCCAUUGAGACCCCAUAGGGACCCCAGAGCGACCCCACUGAGAACCCAGAGGGACCCCAGAGGGACCCCAGAGCGACCCCAUAGGGACCCCAUUGAGACCCCAUAGGGACACAGGGACGCCAUAGAGACCCCAUAGGGACACAGGGACACACGGGGACCCCAUAGGGACACACAGGGACAGAGGGACACACAGGGACACAUAGAGACCCCAUAGAGACCCCAUAGGGACCCCAUUGGGACCCAUAGGGACACACGGGGACCCCAUUGAGACCCCAUAGGGACACAGGGACGCCAUAGAGACCCCAUAGGGACACAGGGACACACAGGGACCCCAUAGGGACCCCAUAGGGACACACAGGGACACAGGGACACACAGGGACCCCCCAGACCCAUAGGACCCCCCCCAGACCCCACAGAGCCCCCACCCCAACCCCCCCCGCCCCCACCUGCGCACGAAGUGCAUUUGGUUCCCGCACACCACGUCCAGCAGGAGGCGCUCGUAGGCAUCAGGGAGCUUCACCCCCUGCGGGGGCAACGGGGGGCAUUCAUUGGGGCCACUGGAGGCCACUGGGGGCCAUUGGGGGCCAUUGGAUGCCACUGGGGGUCAUUGGGGGCCACUGGGAGCCAUUGGAUACCAUUGGGAGCCAUUGGGACCCAUUCGGUGCCAUUGGGACCCAUUGGGUGCCAUUGGGGGCCAUUGGAUACCACUGGGGGCCAUCGGAGGCCAUUGGUAGCCAUUGGCUACCAUUGGGGACCAUCAGAUGCCAUUGGGGGCCAUCGGAUGCCACUGGGGGCCAUUGGCUGCCAUUGGGGGCCAUUGGAGGCCAUCGGAUGCCCUUAGGGGCCAUUGGCUGCCAUUGGGGGCCAUCAGAUGCCAUUGGGGGCCAUCGGCUGCCACUGGGGGCCAUUGGCUGCCAUCGGGGGCCGUCGGAUGCCCUUGGGGGCCAUCAGGAGCCAUCGGAUGUCAUUGGGACCCAUCGGAUGCCAUUGAGACCCAUUGAAUGCCACUGGGGGCCAUUGGAUGCCAUUGGGACCCAUUGGAUGCCAUUGGAUGCCCUUAGGGGCCAUUGGAUGCCAUUGGCUGCCAUUGGGAGCCAUCGGAUGCCCUUAGGGGCCAUUGGGGGCCAUUGGGAGCCAUCGGAUGCCCUUAGGGGCCAUUGGCUGCCAUUGGGACCCAUCAGAUGCCAUCGGACGCCCUUAGGGCCAUUGGCUGCCAUCGGGGGCCAUCGGAUGCCCUUAGGGGCCAUUGGCUGCCAUUGGGACCCAUUGGAUGCCAUCGGAUGCCCUUAGGGGCCAUCGGGGGCCACUGGGUGCUAUUGGGACCCAUCAGAUGCCAUCGGAUGCCCUUAGGGGCCAUU